Long non-coding RNA from Dreissena polymorpha, 555 nucleotides. RefSeq lists it as uncharacterized. The transcript is spliced from 2 exons. The record is from RefSeq and is a predicted model, not a curated record. Lineage: Eukaryota; Metazoa; Mollusca; Bivalvia; Myida; Dreissenidae.
GUCUAUUGUUAUGAGGCUGUAUACGAUGCGCGUUGAACUAGCGCCAAACUUUUUACCGAAACUUUGAUAUAAAUAGCACUAUUAACGUUCAUUUGUGUUGCAUUUUGACCUAUUAUCCAAGUGAUUUACUUUUCCAUUAUUAUUUAAUCACCCAAUCAUCCAAUUUUUAAGAUGAAAUUACGGUGUUUACAAAACCAACCAAACCGAAAGUGAAACUGGAUGCAUUACGUUUCGCGAUGUAAACAUUAAAUAUUUGUUCAGUUUGAGGAAGCGAAUCGAUAAUAGACGUUGAAAUAUGUAUGCAAUACAGACUAUCAUUGCCGAUUGUAGUACUGGCUAAAAAAUACCUUUUAUGACAGGUAUACUGGAUUAUGAAAGACUGAUAAACAUAAAAUUGACAACUCAUCUCCCCAACGAUACUUUGUGUGGCUCAUUCUCGGAACAAACCCAUAGUCAGUGAGAAAACUACAGUGUAAAAAGACCACUUGAUUGUGACAAUUAUGGCUGACCAAGCAAAUGUUAUCAUUUAAAAUAAAGAAAACUUCCAGUUCAAUA